GGCUUCCCCUUCCACUGGUGCUCUUACUAGGAUAUUCAUUGCUACCUAUGAGGUUGGAGCCCAGGGUCAGUCCAUGUAUAGUCUUUAGGUAGUGGCUUAGUCCCUGGGAGCUCUGGUUGCUUGGCAUUGUUGUACAUAUGGGGUCUCGAGCCCCUUCAAGCUCUUCCAGUUCUUUCUCUGAUUCCUUCAACGGGGGACCUAUUCUCAGUUCAGUGGUUUGCUGCUGGCAUUCGCCUCUGUAUUUGCUGUAUUCUGGCUGUGUCUCUUAGGAGCGAUCUACAUCCGGCUCCUGUCGGUCUGCACUUCUUUGCUUCAUCCAUCUUGUCUAAUUGGGUGGCUGUAUAUGUAUGGGCCACAUGUGGGGCAGGCUCUGAAUGGGUGUUCCUUCAGUCUCUGUUUUAAUCUUUGCCUCUCCCUUCCCUGCCAAGGGUAUUCUUUUUCCUCAUUUAAAGAAGGAGUGAAGCAUUCACAUUUUGAUCAUCCGUCUUGAGUUUCGUUUGUUCUAGGGAUCUAGGGUAAUUCAAGCAUUUGGGCUAAUAUAGGCCAAGAUUUCUAAGGGGACCAACCCUAUUCAAACCAAGUGGUAACGCACUUACUUACCUAGCAUGUGAACGGUUGUGAGUUAUGUCUUCUACAUGGCAAAUACCCUCAGUGCACAAUUAAGACUUCUCCCCCACCAGUUAUCUAUUCCGACAGGUCAACGGUGACAAAGUUAAGAAACCAUACACUAAGUAAGCAUACUUUUUAAAUUGGCUAGUAAGAGACUAGGGAUGGCCUUCCAGUUUCCAUCUGUGCCCAGAGCUGACCCUGUACCACAACCGUCUGUAACCAGACCCUGAAAGGAGAAAGCUGUAUUCCCCAGAGUGCUAACACACCUGAGAGCACGGGUGAGACCACCACUUCUGCUCAGAGGGACCCACCCUGAGCCCUCAGGACACAGGAACCAAGGAGCAGUCUGGGACAGGAUCCUCCCAGUUUCCUUCUGCACUCAGAGCUGACCCUGAACCGCAGCUCUUGGUUCCCAAGUCCCACUAGGAGAGAGCUGGUCUCCCAGGAGUGCUGACACACAGGCUUACAGGAGGGUCAAGCCACUGUCGCAAACAGCAAGACCAGCUAACAGCAGAGACAACCUGAUGGCGAGAGGCAAGUACAAGAACCUAAGCAACAGAAACCAAGGCCACCUGGCAACUUCAGAAACCAGUUCACCUACCACAGCAAGUUCUAGAUACCCCAACACACCGGAAAAGCAAGAUUCUGGUUUAAAAAUCACAUCUCAUGAUAAUAUUAAAGGACUUUAAGAAGGGCAUAGAGAACACCCUUAAAGAAAUAUAGGUAGAAGCCCUUAAACAGGAAACACAAAAAUCCCUUUAAAAGUUACAGGAAAAUACAACCAAGCAGGUGAAGGAAUUGAACAAAACCAUCCAGGAUCUAAAAAUGGAAAUAGAAAAAGAAAUCACAAAGGGGGACAACCCUGGAGAUAGAAAACUUAGGAAAGAGAUCAGGAGUCAUAGACAUAAGCAUUGCCAACAGAAUACAAGAGAUAGAAGAGAGAGUCUCAGGGGUAGACGAUACCAUAGAAAACAUUAAAACAACCAUUAAAGAUAACGAAAAACACAAAAAGCUCCUAGCCUAAAAUAUUCAGGAAAUCCAGGACACAAUGAGAAGAUCAAACCUAAGGAUAAUAGGUAUAGAAGAGAACAAAGGUUCCCAGUAAAUAUCUUCAAAAAGUUAUAGAAGAAAACUUCCCUAACCUAAAGAAAGAGAUGCCCAUAAACAUACAAGAAGCCUACAGAACUUCAAGUAGAUUGGACCAGAAAAGAAACUCCUCCCAUCACAUAACAGUCAAAACAUCAAAUGCACAAAACAAGGAAAGAAUAUUAAAAGCAGUAAGGGGAAAAUGUCAAGUAACAUAUAAAGGCAGACCUAUCAGGAUUACACCAGAUUUCUCACCAGAGACAAUGAAAGCCAGAAGACCCUGGACUGAUGUCAUACAGACCCUAAGAGAACACAAAUGCCAACCCAGGCUAAUAUAUCCAGCAAAACUCUCAAUUAACAUAGAUGGAGAAACCAAGACAUUCCAUGACAAAACCAAAUUUACACAAUAUCUUUCCACAAAUCCAGCUCUAGGAAGGAUAAUAGAUGGAAAACUCCAACACAAGGAGGGAAACUACACCCUGGAAAAGCUAGAAAUUUGUCUUUCUUUUAAGCCUCAGUUUAUGCUCUUACUGCAACACACAUGAGCAAUCUCUACAUUCACCACGGCCCUUUUCAGUUCCUACCUACAGGUCUCCUCAGGCUCUGGCUAGGCCCUUAAAUGGGGAUCUUACAUUGCUAGUCAUACUGUAUUUAAAUUUAAUUAUGAUAUAAAAUUUAAUAAAAUACCUUAGUUUUCCAUGAAUUGGUACUAUAACAUGAGAAAUUAGAAACCUUGGAUAAAUAUGGGGCAAAGCUGUUUUAGACAAAAUAAUGCUAAUAGAAUAGAUUUAAAGAUAAAGAGAAACCUGAUAUUUCCGUUAUUCUGUGACUGGAAUUAAUUCAUCAAUAAUGAUACGCCUCAAAACAGUAAAUUAUCAGAACUAACUGAUUUAUAAGAGAGAGUGUUUGUGCCACUACAACAUGCUAGUAAGGCUUAUAUUUAAUGUUUUUCAUGUAUGUCAACAGAUGUGUAGACAAUGAUGACUGAAGUCACAACUGUUACAGCAACACAAACCCUAGUAACAUUUUCUGGUUGUCAGUAGUGAGACCACAGCUUCAUAUGCUGAGCUCCCGAGUUGACCGGAGACCUCUUGAACAUAGGAGAAAUGAUGCUUGGAGAGUUUUAAAUUUAUUCUUGUAAAUAAAUUGUAAAGAUCACUGAGUUGAACAUGGCCACCAGCAUGUCAAGAAAAGCAGAGCCCCAUGUUCAGGGAGGGGUGCUGCCUCAAAAGAGAAGGUGGAGAGUGACUGAUACCCUCUCUGGCCUCCAUGUGUGUGCCUGCACAUAAAAAUGUGCAAACACGUACCCAGCACACACAUACAUUUCCGAAAAAGAAAAGAAAGCUUGUCAUGGUGCCAUAGAUCUACAAUCCCAGGAUUCAAGAGGUAGAGGCAGGAGAACCAGAAAUUCAGUGUCAGAAAACAAUAAAUAAGUGACACAUAGCUCACUGGUUUUCCUUCCAUUAGAUCCAGGUUCAAUUCCCAGUACCCAUAAUGGUGGCUCAUGACCUUAUAACCCCAUUUGCAGGGAACCCAACACCCUCUUCUUGCCUCUGUGGGUAUCAGGCAUACACAUGGUGCACAGAUAUGCAGACAAAACAAUCGUAUGCAUAAAAAAAUUUAAAAUAAAUGUGUGGAGUGUGGUUGUACACACCUUUAAUUCCGGCACUUGGGAGGCAGAGGCAGGCAGAUCUCUGAGUUUGAGGCCAGCCUGGUCUACAGAGUGAGUUCCAGGACAGCCUGGGCUACACAGAGAAACCCUGUCUUAAAAAUAACAACAAAAACUGAAACACACACAACACACACACACACACACACACACACACACACACACACACACACAGUCUUCAGAUUUUUAUCAGUUAGCCUAAUUAAUGCCUUACACCUAACAUGUAUCCAACAUGGAAUUGCUUAUUAAUGAAUGGUGCAUUCCCGCUGCUGCUCUUAGGUACACAUGUCUUCUCCUGCUUCCUUUGCAUGUGCACUAAAGCAGAGGCAGAGCUGUGUGCAUGACCAGAAUCCCACAUGUCUCAGUCACUGUUCUGUUUCCCGAGAAGAGAACCAUGGCCAAGACAAUUUAGAAAAGAAAGCAUUUAAUCCCCCAAUGUAAGCUCCCACUUAAGUGGGGAGUCCAUAACCAUCACGGCAGGGAGAGUGGCAGCAGGCAGCUGAGAGCUCACAUCUUAUCUGAAAUAUUGAGAAAGAGGUUAGGAAAGAGGAGUAAGGAGAGAGAGAGAGAAAGAGAGAGAGACAGAGACAGACAGACAGACAGACAGACAGACAGACAGAGGCCUGGAUAAAGUUUUUGAAACCUCAAAGCCAAAGCCAAACCAUGCCUCCUUCAACAAGACUACAGCUCCUAAUCCAUCCCCAAAAGUUCCACCAAGGACCAAACAGUCAAACAUGAGUCUAUGGGGGCCAUUCUCAUUUAAAUUGUCAUGCCACCCUUGUCUCAAAGCAUGGCAAAGGAAAGACCUAGAGAUAUGUUGUAUCUAAUAGAAGAAUAUAGAGUCUCUCUAGCAUGGUAACAAUGUAUACCUAUAAUGGAUGCACCUGGGUAGUGGAGGCAGCAGGAUCAGAGUUCGAGGUUAACCUCAACUGCAUAGUUAGCAGCAGGGCACCCUAGUGUAUCUAGAACUGUGUGAGAAUGGCUCAGGCAAUGAGGUGUCUGCCUUGUAAACAUAAGGAGCUGAGCUUGGUCUCCAGAACCCAUGUGAAAAGCCAGGAGUUGGUGUGCUUGUAAUCGCACUGCUGGGGAGGCAGAAGCUGGUAGGUCCCCCAGUGCAGGUCCCUGCGAGAGACUCAGUCUCAACACACACACACACACACACACACACACACACACACACACACACACACACACACACACAUUUUUAAAAUAAAUUUUAGAAUUUUAUGUGCAUUAGUGUUUUGCCUGCAUGUAUGCCUGUGGAUGAGUGUCAGAACCCCUGGAACUGGAGUUACAGACAGUUGUGAGCUGCCAUGUGGGUGCUGGGAAUUGGACCCCAAGUCCUCUGGAAGAGCAGCCAAUGUUCUUUACCACUGAGCCAUCUUGCCAGCCUGGAAUGAACGAAAGGAAGAAAGAAAGAAAGAAAGAAAGAAAGAAAGAAAGAAAGAAAGAAAGAAAGAAAGAAAGAAGGAAGGAAGGAAGAAAGAAAGACAAAAAAAAAAUUGAGACAGGUGUCUCUGUAUAGCCCUUGUUGUCCUGAUAUUCAUUAUGUAGACCAAGCUGGCCUCCAUCUCAGAGAUUUGCCCACCUCCGCCUCCUUAGUGCUGGGUUUAAAGGCUUGUCCUAUCACAUCCAGCUCAAAAGUAUUUUUAAGAGGAGGCCAGCAGCAGUGAGUUGGGGUGUUUACUACCGCGUCUGACAUCCUGAGGAUCCCUGGAACCCACAUGGUGAAAGGAAAGAACUGAUCCUGUACUCCUGACUUACUGGGAACACACUGGGACAACUACAUGCCUGUGCGUAACAGUUUCUUCCUAGGUUGGACCAUUCCAUCCCGCAGGGAAGCUCCUUAAGGAGGGUAAACAACUCAAAAGAGCUUUAGGAAGUCCCUGAAACUGACCAGAUUCACUACUCCCCCCAACCUUAACCCCUGCCAGAGUAAGUGAUAAAAUCUGAGGGACCCUUUCACUCGAAGUGAAGCUGAGCUAUAAGGAAGACUCAGACAAGCCAAACUGCAAAGAAAGCUGAGACCAGACCAGCUGCCGGGAAGAAACAGAAAAGCUGCUUACAAGAGGUUUAGAUUAACUGCAGUAACUUUGAAGGAAGCACCUCAACCUAUUGAGUUACAUUCAGGUUGUACAGUGAGUGUUCCAGAUAUCCCAGCAUUUGUGAACUGUCACCCAUGCUGGCCCGCGUCUUGGUGAUACAGCUGUCUUUGAGUCAUUUCUGGUCCUGUAAAUAACCUGUCACCCAUACUCCCGUAGGUAACUCCCAAACCUCACUGGUUCACUAAGCUGGGCUUUAGUGGUGUCUGUACUGUGGUCUGCUGUGGAAUUCCCAUCUAGGGGUUUCUCUUUACAUCCCUACUUGUCCUGGGUCUGUAGACCAGGCUGGACUCGAGCUCAAAGAUCCGCCUGCUUCUCCUCCUGAGUGCUGGGAUUAAUGGAGCAUGCUACCACACUCGACUAGUACUGUGCUCUGAAGGAAGUUAGGCAGGGCUAGUGAAAUGACUCAGAGGGUAAGAGCACCUGCCGCCCAAGCCUGAUGACCCAAGCUAGAUCCCAGCAAUCCCCAUAACGUGAAGAGCCAGAUGCAGUAGUGCACAUCUGUAACAUCUCUAAUUCCAGCACGCUUACAACAACAAGCGGAGAGGCAGCGAGAAGCGCCUGGAAACUCAUGACUCAGCUUUGGGUAUGCAGCCCAGCCGUGGAAUCAAGAGAUCCUGCCUCAACAAGGCGGAGGGUAAGAAUCAAUGGACCCCGGACAACAUUCUCUGACCUCUACACAAGCAUCAUCCCACAACGAAAGAAAGAAAAAAAACUUAAGAAGAAACUAGCAGGCUGAGAAAGGCUUAUGAGAAUGCCACAGUCCACUGUCACGAUUCCUUCGCCUCAGUCGCUUUGCAAUUGCAGGUUUGUUUUUUUGUUUGCUUGUUUGCUUGUUUGCUUGUUUGCUUGUUUUUUGUUUCUUAAGACAAUCUCAUGUUUCCCAGGCCGGCUUCUAGCAGCUAAGUACCCAGAGAUGAUCUUGAAAUUCUAAUCCUCCAGCCUCUACCUCCCUAGUGCUGGAAUUGCAGGUAUGCAAUGUUACACCAGUUUCAUGAGAAGCUUUGUGAAUACUAGGCAAGCAUUCUCCUAGUAACUAAACUACCCACCCCCUUCUUCUUGGGGUUGUUUUGAAACUGGGUCUUGCCCUGUAGCUCUGGAUGGCCCGAAACUCACUCUGUAGACCAAACUGGCCACACACUAAAAGAGAUUCACCUGCCUCUGCCUCUCUAGAAAGAAUUGCUGGGAUUAAAGACUUACACCUCAAUGCCUAGCCUUCUAGCCUGAUAGUUUUUAAUGUCUCCCAUGUAGACACAUAUUUACUCCCACUUUUUUUUCUUUUUUCCGGAGCUGGGGACCGAACCCAGGGCCUUGCGCUUGCUAGGCAAGCGCUCUACCACUGAGCUAAAUCCCCAGCCCCUUACUCCCAGUUUUAAGAGGCAAAGAUUUGGCUAAGUUAGCCACUUGCUCUCCUUCCCGUUUUAAGUUACCUACAUUUUAGUGGAAGUCUUGAAACCGUAAGACACUUGACAUCUUGUUUCUCGCUUUCUUCUAGGGAUGGCUCAUGUCUCUUCAUUUGUAAGAUGAAACCUUUACCUUCCCAGCUUCUCUUGUACCCAGCCUCUGUCAGUUUUCACCUUUGCUUCAUGUGCUUUUUCAUUCUGUAACAUUUGGGGUAACAACUGUAUCCUGUUCUGUAACUAUAAACAGACACUCAGUGCUUUGUCUGGAACAACACUGGCUUGGCUAUCGCUAUGUAAAUAUUUCUCAGAAGGAUACAGUAACUGCCCUUGGCCUUUUCCCUCUCUUGUGCUCUAAGAAGCUAAGCCCUUUCUUUAAAUUCUAUCUCUUGUUUAAAGUCAAGGCAGAUUUCCGUUGCGUAUGGACCAUGGUGGGGUUUUGUGACUUUAUUUAGUUCUUAAUAUGUAUCAAUUGUCCUUCCUGUCCCCUUCUGAAAUCUGUGCCUCCUUUUCUUCUUCCCCUACAUGACAUAUACACACACUGUUCUGAUUUCUUCGUACAAGCUCUUUGGCAGUACUGACUCAUAGGCGUCAGAGACAGAUUGCUUCCCAGCACUGCCGUCUCUUGAUGCUGUUCUCUAUUGGUCGUUUGCAUGUUUCUACUUAUUCAUUUGUUAGUACUUCCUUUUUCCCUUCUUCCUUUCCUUCCUGCCUUCCCUGAUUGCUUUCUUACUUUUUUUUUUAAUGUAGCUAGGUUGGCCUAAUGUUCACAAUCCUCCUGCCUCAGCCUUCUUGAAUGCUGAGAUUACAACAAGUUCAUACCAUCCCACCUAGCCAUUUUUCUUGAUUUUUCUUUUUAUGACCAGAACACAUCAAUAUGUUUUCGUAGAGAUUUGUCUUCUAAUUCUGAACACAUUCUUGAUUCUCCUGUCUGGAAAAAAAAUCGAUAGCCAUCCUA
Molecule: non-coding RNA, 7824 nt
Organism: Rattus norvegicus (Norway rat)
Lineage: Eukaryota; Metazoa; Chordata; Mammalia; Rodentia; Muridae
Source: RefSeq, a predicted model, not a curated record